RNAcentral lists this ribosomal RNA (449 nucleotides) under uncultured bacterium. Its description in RNAcentral is "bacterial SSU rRNA". It matches the Rfam family "Bacterial small subunit ribosomal RNA", at positions 329 to 792 of the family's 1533-position model. The record is from RNAcentral.
UCCCAGACUCCUACGGGAGGCAGCAGUGGGGAAUAUUGGACAAUGGGGGGAACCCUGAUCCAGCGACGCCGCGUGAGUGAAGAAGAAUUUCGGUAUGUAAAGCUAUAUCAGCAGGGAAGAAAGAAAUGACGGUACCUGACUAAGAAGCCCCGGCUAACUACGUGCCAGCAGCCGCGGUAAUACGUAGGGGGCAAGCGUUAUCCGGAUUUACUGGGUGUAAAGGGAGCGUAGACGGCGAUGCAAGUCUGAAGUGAAAGGCGGGGGCCCAACCCCCGGACUGCUUUGGAAACUGUAUAGCUGGAGUGCAGGAGAGGUAAGUGGAAUUCCUAGUGUAGCGGUGAAAUGCGUAGAUAUUAGGAGGAACACCAGUGGCGAAGGCGGCUUACUGGACUGUAACUGACGUUGAGGCUCGAAAGCGUGGGGAGCAAACAGGAUUAGAUACCCCGGUA